UAUGGGACUGCGCACAGGCUAAUAUUUUAGGAGAUUUUUCAAUUUUAAAAAUAUUCUUAACAAAAUUAUCGUGUUACCAUAACAACUACUUUAAAUACGCCAUGUUUGGUAAAUAUAAUGUUUUUGUCAGCAAGGCGAGGGUUUCUACUAACAGUUUUACCGGCAGUCAUCACUCGCUGGAAGAAUGUAUGUCAAAUUAUCAAUUAUCACAAAUUUCUAUUAUGAUUUUAUUAAUGGCCAGAGCGAGGUAAUUUCAAUGAAAUUCCUUGGCUUUAAUAAAGAUAUUUAAAUAUUGAGAUGCAAUUAAGCUCACAUUUCAACUUACAAAACCUAUAUUUUUAAAAAUAUGUUAGAGGGUUAAGAGUUAACAAGUUCGGUAUCUUAUGAAUUGUUUUGGAAAAAGCUUUCUUCCUCGACCUUUGUUUUUAGAAAUUAGUUGUUUAGUUAGUAAAUAAUUUAGCAUUAUAUGUUGGAGAUAAGUUGUGUAGCAGUAUUCAAACAAAUUUAUAAAUUUGUACUUUUGUAACAUUAGCACGCCUCUUUGGAAAAUCAACUGCAUGUUGAAAAGAUUAGUGAGUUUAACAAAAGUUGAUCAUCAUAAAAAAGGAUCGUGUCACGCUUUUGUUACUGUUUUUAUCUUUAUCGUAUCUAUCUAUCUAUCUACCCCAAAUCAACAAAUAACAAUAAAAGCAUCUUGUUUGGUGCAUUUCCAAUGAUUAAUCAGAUAAAAGAAGCAAGGAUUUUAGUCAAAGACUGGUUUAAAUUAAUAAACGAUGCUUUGCAAAACCGCACUUUCUCCACAUGUCAGAUACACGAAAACGAAACUCUAUAUGGCAUGUGAUGUGCUUUCCAGGAGGGAGUAUUCUUUAAAGGCACGCAUAUGUUCUGUCUAUUUGUCAAUAAAGAUUUAAUAUUGAUCUAUAUAGCAUCAGCAAUUGACCACAAUGAAGCCACUGCCGGAGUGCUCUUAGACUUAUCUAAAGCAUUUGAUACUUUUUAAAGUAUCAAAUUAUCAAGAUUUAAAAAUCAUGAAAUUUUAUUUUUUAUAACCUUGAACACUAUGGCAUUUGUGGACUGGCACUAAAAUGGAUAAAAAGUUACUUUCUUCACUGCAAACAAUGAUAGUUUCCAUUUUUUUAAUUUUUUUUUUUUUUUUUUUUAAAUUUUAUUGUUAAAUAUCCAUCUUUGGCAUAUAGAAAUACAAUGGAUUUACAAGUUAAAAAUAUAUACUAAAAUACAUGUGUAACCUAUGAGAAUGUAAAAAUUAGAAAGUUUAAGAAGUUUUUAUAUACAUAUGUACAAUGAUCUAAUUUCAUGAGUUGGUUAAUCUACACGCCUUGGGAUAAAAGACGUACUAUGCCUGUGUGUUUUUGAGAGCUGUCUUGGAGUGCUGUCUCUGGUCCUUCUCAGUUCGUAAGUGUGAUUCUUAUUACCAGAUAGGAAACGAUUACAUGGGUUUUUUGGGACUUCCACGAUCCUUUUCAGCUCGUUGCAUGUUGCCUUGUCCCUUCUUUCUUUUAGUGUAGGGAGGGUAUCUUUCUCAAGUCCUAGGAUUCUCAAGCUUCUUUGUUGAAC
Molecule: long non-coding RNA, 1575 nt
Filed under: Paramuricea clavata
Lineage: Eukaryota; Metazoa; Cnidaria; Anthozoa; Malacalcyonacea; Plexauridae
Source: RNAcentral